CCCAGGCACGGUGGCGCGUGCCUAUAGUCACAGCUAAUCGGGAGGCUCAGGUGGCAAGAUUGCUUGAGCCCAGGAGUUCUGGGCUGCAGUGCGUUAUGCUGAUCUGGUGUCUGCACUAACUUCAGCAGGGGGCCACCAGGUUGCCUAAGGAGGGGUGAACCGGCCCAGGUCGGAAAUGAAGCAGGUCAAAACUCCCGUGCUGAUCAGUAGUGGGAUCGAGCCUAUGAAUAGCCACUGCACUCCAGCCUGGGCAACAUAGUGAGACCCUAUUUCU
Molecule: signal recognition particle RNA, 274 nt
Filed under: Saimiri boliviensis boliviensis (Bolivian squirrel monkey)
Lineage: Eukaryota; Metazoa; Chordata; Mammalia; Primates; Cebidae
Description: Metazoan signal recognition particle RNA (ENSSBOG00000003644.1)
Rfam family: Metazoan signal recognition particle RNA
About the family: The signal recognition particle (SRP) is a universally conserved ribonucleoprotein. It is involved in the co-translational targeting of proteins to membranes. The eukaryotic SRP consists of a 300-nucleotide 7S RNA and six proteins: SRPs 72, 68, 54, 19, 14, and 9.
Source: RNAcentral